Molecule: long non-coding RNA, 621 nt
Filed under: Rattus norvegicus (Norway rat)
Lineage: Eukaryota; Metazoa; Chordata; Mammalia; Rodentia; Muridae
Description: long non-coding RNA NONRATT029921
Source: RNAcentral
AGACAGUAGCAUCUGAAACCCAGCCGGCUUCCGUUCUGAGUGGGUUACCUAGCACUGUGUGGUGGCCAUACAGAAGUCACUCCAGAAGACAAUAGGAAUGAAAUUCUGUGGCUUGGCACCUGCCCGGCAUAUGUAAGCCCCCCCCCCCCGUAUCAUCCCUAUCAGAAUAAAUAAUCCAUGCACAGGGCCGACUGCCGGGUUACCAGUGUCCGGAGAUACUGGAAGGCCACUGUCCAAUCUCCCUAGCAAGGUUGGGUGAUUAAAUACAGAGUAUUUGCUUGGGAGUUUGCCCUGUCACCUAGGCUCGAGGAUCCCAGGACAACUCCCAGCCCCAUCCUCCGGUCUCUUCUUCCUUCGUCUCUACUUCCCCAAGUGCUUAAGGACCCAAGGAUCUGAAGGCCACUGGGGCCUUCAUUCCCGAGGAGAAGAUGGCUCAGUUCUGAGCAGCUUAGAAGUCAGCUGAGUCUCAUGGUUAUUGCCCGGAUGCUGGGUCAGCAGGAGUCACUUCCUCUCUGGGGAGAGAAGACCCAGCUAGCCUUGCUCAGCCAGCUCCUCAGCCUCAUGAGGCCAUCAUCCCUCAGGCAGUGUCUGGGCUCUGAAACAUUGCCAUCCAGUCCAGGG